Molecule: ribosomal RNA, 423 nt
Filed under: uncultured bacterium
Lineage: Bacteria
Description: bacterial SSU rRNA
Rfam family: Bacterial small subunit ribosomal RNA
Source: RNAcentral
AAGACCUUGCGCUUUUGGAGCGGCCGAUGUCUGAUUAGCUUGUUGGUGAGGUAAAAGCUUACCAAGGCUUCGAUCAGUAGCUGGUCUGAGAGGACGGCCAGCCACACUGGGACUGAGACACGGCCCAGACUCCUACGGGAGGCAACAGUGGGGAAUUUUGGACAAUGGGGGCAACCCUGAUCCAGCCAUGCCGCGUGAGUGAAGAAGGCCUUCGGGUUGUAAAGCUCUUUCAGCCGGAACGAAACGGUUACGGUUAAUACCCGUGACUACUGACGGUACCGGAAGAAGAAGCACCGGCUAACUACGUGCCAGCAGCCGCGGUAAUACGUAGGGUGCAAGCGUUAAUCGGAAUUACUGGGCGUAAAGCGUGCGCAGGUGGUUUUGUAAGUCAGAUGUGAAAUCCCCGGGCUUAACCUGGGAACU